Molecule: long non-coding RNA, 1746 nt
Organism: Salmo salar (Atlantic salmon)
Lineage: Eukaryota; Metazoa; Chordata; Actinopteri; Salmoniformes; Salmonidae
Source: RefSeq, a predicted model, not a curated record
UUAUCCAGAAUUGAACCACUAGCUACGGACCUUCAAAAUGCAAUGUUGUGUUUGGGGGUGCAAGGCCCAAUAUCGGAAAGGAGGAGGGUUAGGGUUUUUCCGAUUCCCUACUGGAGAGAACGAAAUUGCUCAAAGUCAAAGGAAAACUUGGAUAAAAAUGGUGAAGAGAGAAGACCCCGAACCAGAUCUGCCUUCCCGUGUGGGUGGUAAAUUGGUACUCCAAAUGGGAAAGGACUGGCACCCUACUAUCUCUCGCAUUUGUGGGAGGCACUUUGUUUUGAAGAAACCAAACCUGCAUCCGGACCACCCUGACUUUGCCCCAUCCCUCUGACUUUGCCCCAUCCCUCAUCCCUCUUCGCCCAGAGGACUAUGCCUUGAGUCCGAACACAGCUCAGACAGAAGGGAAAAGAAACCUGCAGAGCUAUGACAGGGCGGUGAAGAAGAAGAAGUGCCUUGACCUGAGUGAGGUUGGAGGUGCUGACCCGAGGGACAGUUAUGCUGACACCACAGAAGAAACUGAAGAGCAGGACCUGGGCACCUGUGUAUCGUGUGAGGUCCUGAGGAAGUCCUUAAAUGAUUUGCAGUCCAGGCAUGAUGCUCUGCAAGUCGAAGCUGUCGAUCUCAGGGCGGAGAGAGACUUUUAUAAAGAGAACGCAUCUCAAUCCUCUCUCUUUGUUGACACCUUUACAGACAGAGACAAUCAAACGCAUACAGUGAGAGAAGUGCCUAACAUGGCUAAACCAAAUGGUAUGAACCAACAAUGUACAGGGAUGGUUGAGGAGCCAUGUCUUAUGGAGGUUGAGGGGCCAUGUUCUGUGAAGGUUGAGGAGCUUUGUCCUGUGAAGGUUGAGGGGGACUAUGAUCAAGUGUUGAUUAAGGAAGAGGAAUAACAGGUCCAAAUAGAACUUUGUAGCCCCUUGGCUAGUCAGGACAAAGUGACCCAUGUCUCCCAGGAUAAACCUACCCAGCAUAACAACAUUAUGAAGCCAACCAGGCGACCAUGUGUGUUAGCCCAGGAUAAACCUAUCCAGCUUGCCAAAGCCGUAGUAGAAAGCCACCUAAUGACUAACCAUCUGCCUGGCAGCCAAACCACUGCUGAGCCUUUGCAGAAGACUCCUCUGUCAGCUCAAAGGAGACCUGUUGCAGGCAAACAAAUUCAGAGAAGCAUAAACACAGAGAGGGAUGAGUUGCUUUGGCUGGGCUACAUGAAGUGGAAUGUGCGUCUUCCAGCAAGCACAAUUAGAACCGCACACAAGUUUCAGACGCCUAGGGCAACAGUGCAAUACCUUCUACACGCAGUCUUCUCCCAAUGUGAACUCGCUACCAGCAAUCUCAAGGGCAUUCCUGCACUGGGCCUUAACAAACUGGACCCGGACAAACUUUCUGCCAUAAGACAGUUUGUCGCCACUAAGUUUCGCCGUUUAGACAUGCGUCAAUGUGGUAAAGACUGGGUAAAGUGCCGACGCCAGAUAACCAGCAUGCUCAGGAACAUUCGGAAGGAGGACAGGAAGACGAGGGGGCUCUCAGGAAACCUUUGUAUGAUAGAGGAAGUGGUAUCGGAUCAGAGUUUGCCCAGUCAGCCAUCGCCUCCCUCAUUCCCCUCGAUCUCCCAACAGCACACAGCCGCCUUCUACAGCCCAACAGAAGAAGAAGAGAUCCUCUGUCUGGAGAGUUAGGUUACACAAUAUCUGUAAUGAUGUUUGCAUUUUCCUGUAAUAAACAGUUUGUUGGGAGUAAAAAAUAUAA